Molecule: long non-coding RNA, 1372 nt
Organism: Hyaena hyaena (striped hyena)
Lineage: Eukaryota; Metazoa; Chordata; Mammalia; Carnivora; Hyaenidae
Exons: 3
Source: RefSeq, a predicted model, not a curated record
GUGCGCUCUCAGCCCGCUCUCCUGGACCGGACACCGCUGUGCGUGAGGCCCCGCGCCUGGGGCCGGCGACGGGCGGGGACGUACGCUGAGGAAAUGUGCGGGGAGGGGAGGGGGACGCCCUCUGGCCGCCCGCUCCCGGGUCCGGCGAGGCCACGGCUUCCGCCCCUGCCUGCCAGGCCUCGCUCGUAGGGUGUCCGCAGUCCGUUUUGUGCCCGUUUUUCCCUACGCCCUUCUCCCCCGGCUGCAGUGAAGUCGUCAGUGCCCGGCUGGCUGCCUCCAGGCGCCGUGGCCCCACCGGUGCCGGGGUCCCAGACGUGACCGCCUCCGCCCUCGCAGCUGGCCUUCGGGCUGCGCCCCCCGCCCCUUGUUAGGAUCACCGCCAGUUUCUGCUUGGGAGCUUUGACGUCCGCAGUUGGUGCCGCUUCCCCGUACUUGCUCCUGUCAGCUGACGGGAGCCGUAGGUCCUCCCCCCGCAGUCAUCGCGGCAUCCGUCCCUCCUUACCCGCCGCCUGCACCCGCUCUCGUCCUCGCCCUCGGCGGGCAAGGGCAGGACUUCCCGGCCCUACAGCCCCCUUCGGCUGUGGCCCGAGCAGUGGAAAUAGAUGCAGUUGGCAGUUGGCAGAUGCAAAGGGAAACACUUGACGGUGAGUCAGAAUGAAGGUGAGCACCCCACGGGGUCGGGAACAUCGGCCCAACAGCGUGCGCGGGAGGUCACAGGCCCCGGCUGCGCGCUGCUCGGCUCCACAUGCCCCUCGGUGACACGUGUGCCUUCAGAGCUUCUCUGAAAGACGUCUGACAAGUUCCCCGUGACUAGGCCCUCAUGGGCUGGACACGACCUGAAAGUACAUUAUUUCUCUGUAGUGAACAUUACUUCCCCCACUCUUUUGGCAUUUCACUUUAAUUUGCUCAUUUUUGUAAACUGUCACACAAAGUUUAGUCAUUUAUUUAACAUGUGGUUUCUGUUCAGAUCGAACUCUAGGAAAAAAACCCAGAUCUAAAGACUUUUUAGGACUUGUGACCUUGCUUGGUUUUUUUAUCGCUCCAUAUGCAUCUACCAUUUCCAGCAUAUUUCUAGGCUAACUGUUUGGGGGAAUGGAGAGAAGUGACAAAAUGUGGAACACAAUCUCGGGACCUCGUCGAAGAGUCAAGCAGAAGAUGGUCAUGUUGUGGCAUGCGCGUGAUGGACGACAGAACGCGGGAACCCCAUGCAGUGCAGGGAAAGAUGCUCCUAGCGGGACACCUAAGUGUAGACCGGCUUCCGGAUGAGAACUCAGAGCAAAGCCGACUCACACAGCUCUGUCCCACCCUCUGUUCCCAGACCGCCCCCCAGACCUGCUGUGUCACCUCAUCCCUGCCGUGUUUGGAAUGUGAG